This 253-nucleotide ribosomal RNA is filed under the name uncultured bacterium. RNAcentral's name for it is "partial 16S ribosomal RNA". It matches the Rfam family "Bacterial small subunit ribosomal RNA", at positions 524 to 776 of the family's 1533-position model. The record is from RNAcentral.
UACGUAGGGCGCGAGCGUUGUCCGGAUUUAUUGGGCGUAAAGAGCUCGUAGGCGGCUUGUUACGUCGUUCGUGAAAACUUGGGGCUCAACCCCAAGCUUGCGGUCGAUACGGGCAGGCUAGAGUUCGGUAGGGGAGACUGGAAUUCCUGGUGUAGCGGUGAAAUGCGCAGAUACCAGGAGGAACACCGGUGGCGAAGGCGGGUCUCUGGGCCGAUACUGACGCUGAGGAGCGAAAGCGUGGGGAGCGAACAGG